This 397-nucleotide ribosomal RNA is filed under the name uncultured bacterium. RNAcentral's name for it is "partial 16S ribosomal RNA". It matches the Rfam family "Bacterial small subunit ribosomal RNA", at positions 523 to 918 of the family's 1533-position model. The record is from RNAcentral.
AUACGUAGGUGACAAGCGUUAUCCGGAUUUACUGGGCGUAAAGGGCGUGUAGGCGGUCUUGCAAGUCAGAAGUGAAAUUCCUGAGCUCAACUCGGGCGCUGCUUCUGAAACUGCAGGACUUGAGUGCUGGAGGGGAUAGCGGAAUUCCUAGUGGAGCGGUAAAAUGCGCAGAUAUUAGGAAGAACACCGGUGGCGAAGGCGGCUAGCUGGACAGUAACUGACGCUGAGGCGCGAAAGCGUGGGGAGCAAACAGGAUUAGAUACCCUGGUAGUCCACGCGGUAAACGAUGAAUGCUAGGUGUUGCGGGUAUCGACCCCUGCAGUGCCGGAGUAAACACAAUAAGCAUUCCGCCUGGGGAGUACGGCCGCAAGGUUGAAACUCAAAUGAAUUGACGGGG